RNAcentral lists this precursor RNA (237 nucleotides) under Aedes aegypti (yellow fever mosquito). RNAcentral describes it as "partial precursor miRNA-277". The stretch from base 1 to 89 matches the Rfam family "mir-277 microRNA precursor family". The record is from RNAcentral. Lineage: Eukaryota; Metazoa; Arthropoda; Insecta; Diptera; Culicidae.
UGGAGUGCGUGUCAGAAGUGCAUUUACAUAGGUAUUUCCCGUUUAGCAGUAUUUGUAAAUGCACUAUCUGGUACGACAUUCCAGAAUCAACAAUCAUCCAGAGAGGGGAAAACUGCUGGAAAUAAACGCUUGCAAUUAUGAUGAUUAAUUAGUUAGUUUUUCUAAGUGUGUUUUAUUUAUGAACUAAAUCGAAUGAAAUAAACAUUUUUCUCCGAAAAAAAAAAAAAAAAAAAAAAA